Molecule: transfer RNA, 72 nt
Filed under: Longispora fulva
Lineage: Bacteria; Bacillati; Actinomycetota; Actinomycetes; Micromonosporales; Micromonosporaceae
Rfam family: tRNA
About the family: Transfer RNA (tRNA) molecules are approximately 80 nucleotides in length. Their secondary structure includes four short double-helical elements and three loops (D, anti-codon, and T loops). Further hydrogen bonds mediate the characteristic L-shaped molecular structure. tRNAs have two regions of fundamental functional importance: the anti-codon, which is responsible for specific mRNA codon recognition, and the 3' end, to which the tRNAs corresponding amino acid is attached (by aminoacyl-tRNA synthetases). tRNAs cope with the degeneracy of the genetic code in two manners: having more than one tRNA (with a specific anti-codon) for a particular amino acid; and 'wobble' base-pairing, i.e. permitting non-standard base-pairing at the 3rd anti-codon position.
Source: Rfam by way of RNAcentral
CCCACCGUGGCCCAAGGGUAACGGCGCCGCCCUGAUAUGGCGGAGAUCCAGGCUCGACUCCUGGCGGUGGGA